Molecule: long non-coding RNA, 434 nt
Filed under: Heterocephalus glaber (naked mole-rat)
Lineage: Eukaryota; Metazoa; Chordata; Mammalia; Rodentia; Bathyergidae
Description: lncRNA (ENSHGLG00100051863.1)
Source: RNAcentral
UGAGGUUUUCUGUGCAGCUUGCUGUUUACGGGUCUUGGGCUAGCGUUUUCGUCAAAGAGCCCGAGAGCUAGGCAGCCAAGGGGAAGACCCCAACCUUCAAAGAAGAGCUGGGAGGCACAAAACUGAGCUGCUUGUCUUUCCAUCAUCUAGUCAAUAAGUGUACUUUUAUUGAGCAUCUACGAGUGACAGACGUUGUCCUGGGGCGUAGAACACAGCAGUGACAAUAGACGGUAGAAGAUCCUUGAUGCUCCUGAAAGAUACAGACCAGAAGACAAUUUAAAACCCUCAAAUAGAGAUUGGGCUCAAACACCUGAAAGCGAUCGUCCUGCCUCAUCCUCUUGAGUAGCUGACCCUACAAUACUGGGCAUCGAACUCAGGACCUUGUGUGGUGCCACUGAGCUAAAUCCCCAGCCCUAAAAACUGUAAUAUUAAAG